Molecule: ribosomal RNA, 434 nt
Filed under: uncultured bacterium
Lineage: Bacteria
Description: partial 16S ribosomal RNA
Rfam family: Bacterial small subunit ribosomal RNA
Source: RNAcentral
AGCGAACGCUGGCGGCAGGCCUAACACAUGCAAGUCGAGCGAACCUUUCGGGGUUAGUGGCGGACGGGUGAGUAACACGUGGGAACGUGCCUUUAGGUUCGGAAUAACUCAGGGAAACUGGUGCUAAUACCGAAUGUGCCCUUCGGGGGAAAGAUUUAUCGCCUUUAGAGCGGCCCGCGUCUGAUUAGCUAGUUGGUUGAGGUAAUGGCUCACCAAGGCGACGAUCAGUAGCUGGUCUGAGAGGAUGAUCAGCCACAUUGGGACUGAGACGCGGCCCAAACUCCUACGGGAGGCAGCAGUGGGGAAUCUUGCGCAAUGGGGGAAAGCCUGACGGAGCCAUGCCGCGUGAAUGAUGAAGGUCUGAGGAUAGUAAAAUUCUUUCAACGGGGACGAUAAUGACGGUACCCGGAGAAGAAGCCCCGGCUAACUUCGUG